Phascolarctos cinereus (koala) is the source of this 967-nucleotide long non-coding RNA. RefSeq lists it as uncharacterized. The record is from RefSeq and is a predicted model, not a curated record. NCBI's taxonomy places the organism in Eukaryota, Metazoa, Chordata, Mammalia, Diprotodontia, Phascolarctidae.
UAUGUUAAGGGAAGUCAGUGGAUUUUCUAUCUUCAAAAUAGUUUUCCUCUUGGAGCCUCUGUCUCGUUUAGGUGAGACAGACUGCCUGUUCUUUCUGUCAGUGAGAAUUCUUAGCAGUCAAUCAACAACCAAGGAUCAUGGAACCCAAGGUUUUAGAGCUGGAAGAUUUCUUGAGUACUUACCCUGUGCCGAUUCCUGUGCUGAGACUUAUGAGAUUUAAAUCUAUGAUCUAUGGAUUCUACAAGCACGUUGUAACCCAUCUGUAGAAGCAUUCCACCUGCAAAAAUCCCUAAGCCUUACACCCAGACGUUAACUGGAACUUCUAGCUAUGAGAGAUAUCAGGAGACAGAAGGGAUCUUAUGCCUUUGUUUCUGCAACAACAGCCCUCAUGAAUCACCUCCUUUCUAAUCCCAAGUGCUGGUCACGAAUAUUGUAGCCCCAAGCCAACAAUUAUAAUGAAGUUUUCUUCAUAGCAGCAAGUGAUGAAUGCAUUACUUGGAGCUCUGAGUAAUUUCUGGCACCUUAGACCCCAGUGGGGGGGCUUCUGAUUCAUGUGGCCCUAGGCCAGAAGAUAUGAGGGAAGGCUCCUUCUUUUACUGCAGAUACAAGAGUACUCCAUCUCCCACGUCCACGAUUUCGCUGGUCCCUGUGCCUGGAAUGUACUCCCUCUUUACCUCUACCUGACAGAAUCCCUCAUUACUUUUAAACAGGUCAUAUACUAUUUUCUACAUAAAUCCUUUCCUGAUCUCCCCUCAAUUGCUCCCUAACUACCUUGUAUUAAUUUGCAUUAUUCUCUUUAUUUUUGUUCUAUGUAUCUUAUAUAUGUUUAUUCUAUAUCGUCUAUGUAUGUAACAUUGCCUCCCCAGUUGGAACAUAAAGUUCCUGAGAGUAUAUUCUUUGUAUAUAGGGGAAGUAAGUGGUACAGUGGAUAGAGCACUGGGCCUAGAGCCAAGAAGACCUGAAUUCA